Molecule: transfer RNA, 72 nt
Filed under: Stegodyphus mimosarum
Lineage: Eukaryota; Metazoa; Arthropoda; Arachnida; Araneae; Eresidae
Rfam family: tRNA
About the family: Transfer RNA (tRNA) molecules are approximately 80 nucleotides in length. Their secondary structure includes four short double-helical elements and three loops (D, anti-codon, and T loops). Further hydrogen bonds mediate the characteristic L-shaped molecular structure. tRNAs have two regions of fundamental functional importance: the anti-codon, which is responsible for specific mRNA codon recognition, and the 3' end, to which the tRNAs corresponding amino acid is attached (by aminoacyl-tRNA synthetases). tRNAs cope with the degeneracy of the genetic code in two manners: having more than one tRNA (with a specific anti-codon) for a particular amino acid; and 'wobble' base-pairing, i.e. permitting non-standard base-pairing at the 3rd anti-codon position.
Source: Rfam by way of RNAcentral
GUUUUUGUGGUAUAAUUGGUGAUAUAUUCGGUUAGCAAUCAGAAAAUCCAGAGUUCGAACCCUGCAAGGGCU